This 457-nucleotide non-coding RNA is filed under the name Pan troglodytes (chimpanzee). Lineage: Eukaryota; Metazoa; Chordata; Mammalia; Primates; Hominidae. The record is from RNAcentral.
GACAUAUUCAGAACAUGGCAGCUUCUAGAAUUGGUUCAAUCUUCUGCUCGAGUGGCAGUGGCCAAAGGCCUGGAGCCGACCAAGGAGAGGUUAUCUAGUUAAGAAUCAUCAGUGGCUGAUCAUCCCUCAAAGACAAACAACUAGACAAGAUGUGGCUCCUGAUGGAAGAACGCAGGCCACCACCUACAAAGCACCCUGGCUGCCUCCCUCCCCCAGGAAACAAGGCAUGAAGAGAAAACCAACCUCUCCUUUCUGGUUGAUGAUGGGAACAGCGUAUUGUAACUUCACAUCAUAGAAAAGGGACUCGAGGAAGACAUUGGCCACCCCAAUGAGACUGUGAUUUUCCUGCUCAUCAUAGAAUGGAUCAGCACGUUUGAAGUACGAUCGUAUUACCUGUAAAGAGAUUGAGAACACACAACUUCAGAAAAACCAUUUACAAUAAAUGCAUUCAACCUAC